GACGAACGCUGGCGGCGUGCUUAACACAUGCCAGUCGAACGGAAAGGCCCUGCUUUUGUGGGGUGCUCGAGUGGCGAACGAGUGAGUAACACGUGAGUAACCUGCCCUUGACUUUGGGAUAACUUCAGGAAACUGGGGCUAAUACCGGAUAGGAGCUCCUGCUGCAUGGUGGGGGUUGGAAAGUUUCGGCGGUUGGGGAUGGACUCGCGGCUUAUCAGCUUGUUGGUGGGGUAGUGGCUUACCAAGGCUUUGACGGGUAGCCGGCCUGAGAGGGUGACCGGCCACAUUGGGACUGAGAUACGGCCCAGACUCCUACGGGAGGCAGCAGUGGGGAAUAUUGCACAAUGGGCGGAAGCCUGAUGCAGCAACGCCGCGUGUGGGAUGACGGCCUUCGGGUUGUAAACCGCUUUCGCCUGUGACGAAGCGUGAGUGACGGUAAUGGGUAAAGAAGCACCGGCUAACUACGUG
This 468-nucleotide ribosomal RNA is filed under the name uncultured bacterium. Its description in RNAcentral is "partial 16S ribosomal RNA". It matches the Rfam family "Bacterial small subunit ribosomal RNA", at positions 28 to 507 of the family's 1533-position model. The record is from RNAcentral.